UUUGCCAACCUUUUCUUUUUUCCAAAACACUUCGUAGAGAGAGGAGAGAGAAGUGAAAACUUUCUCUUUAGUCUCUCCCACUCCAACAGUAAACCCUAACCGCCGUUUCUCCAAUCUCAACGCUUAGGCGGCCGUCGGCAUCUUCCGCCGUCGGUCUCCCUCCCCCGUUGUCUGUGCUCGCGUUCGCCGCCGUAUCCCUCUGUUAUCAUCCUCUUGUUUCUCCUCCUUGCUUGAUGUGUCUGAGUCCGAUGGAUUCCCCUCUGCCGAAUCAAACUGAAAUCAAAGGGCCUUUGAUCUCUCUGGACCACCAGCGAGGCGAGACGGGUUGGUGAUAACCUUGGGAGCCCUAAAUCCGUCCCUAGUCGCCGAUUGCGCUCCGAUUUGGGUCAGAUCAGAGAUCCGGGAUUCCACCAGAAGCUUUGACGCGUCGCUGCCGUUCUCGCCUCUGCUCCACGGUCUCGCCCCAGUCGAUCUAUUCUAGAGAUUUGUUUACAGGGUUUCAUAGAGUUCCUCCUCUCUCUGAGUGAAGGGUGGUUGUGAGGCGCACCACCGAGGUCCUCUGUCUUUAAGCUAAAUUGAGAGCCUCUAUGCUGUUCCUAUGCGAAUGAAUGGCUCUCCUUCCCUGCUCUCAUCGUCUUCUACCAGGGUCUUGAGGACAACCCCGACGUCGACGUCACCUGCAGAAAAGUUGUAGCUUUCUUUCUCUUUUAGGUUGCCUGCUUCAAGGAGUCUCGUGCUCCUUCUGUGUUUCAACUUCCCUCUCCAAAGCUCCCGGUAGAUCUCUGUCAUGUAACCUUGCCGUCUCCGCCGCAUCCUCUGUGUCGCGUAGCGGAAUGAGGGGCCAAAACUACCGUCUACGCUUGACCAUGUGCUUCAUUUUCAGUGGUGUAGCAGUAGGUUUGCUUUCUAGUCAUCUUCUGCGUUAACUUGGGCUUGCUUUGUCGACGUCCUCUUCCAGCGGAGCUCCGGGGUGUGACCAGACGCUUCCGUCGACGCCUUCUAGAGCCACUUCGGUGAGGCUCGAUCAAACUCGCCUUCAAGUUAUUCUCUUGCUCUCUAUUUCAAACUAGUAGAGUAAGAAGGCUUUGGUUUUUCAUCACAUGAUUCACAUCUUCCACUCAUUUAAAGGUUUUUAAUCAGAUGGUUCUCAACUUCCACUUGAAUAUAUUUUUCAGAUCUAGAUAUGCAGGUUUUUCAGAUUUGGAAGACUUCUGGGACGACUUCCAGGAGGUCCAGACGACUUCGAGAAAGUCCAGACGACUUCGAGAAAGUCCAGACGACUUCCAGGAAGUCCAGACGACUUACAGGAAGUCCAGACGACUUACAGGAAGUCCAGACGACUUACAGAAAGUCCAGACGACUUCCAGGAAGUCUUCUAGAUCUCCUGGAAGUCUUCUGGAUCUCCUGGAAGUCGUCUGGACCUUCUGGAAGUCUUCUAGAUUUUCUGGAAGUCGUCUGGACCUCCUAGAAAUCUUCUGGACCUCCUGGAAAUCGUUUGGACCUUCUGGAAGUUUUCUGGACCUCCUGGAAGUCUUCUGGACCUCCUGGAAGUUGUCUGGACCUCCUGUAAGUCGUCUGGACCUCAUGGAAGUCGUCUGGACUUCCUAGAAAUCGUCUGGACCUCAUGGAAGUCGUCUGGACGUCCUGGAAGUCGUCUGGACCUCCAAGAAGACUUCUGAAGAAGUUUUCUUCCAUAUUAAGUGUAGUCUAAGCUUGUCUUUGUAGAGAAAUGAUAUAUAAUAGUUUGUUUGUGGUAUGUUUUGUGAUUUAAAUGUGUACUCCCUUAGUUGUGACAUUUUUGUAAAAUCAUUAAUAAUGUUUCCCAAAAUGUAAUAUAUGUAAUAAAUAAGA
Long non-coding RNA from Raphanus sativus (radish), 1851 nucleotides. RefSeq lists it as uncharacterized. The record is from RefSeq and is a predicted model, not a curated record. Lineage: Eukaryota; Viridiplantae; Streptophyta; Magnoliopsida; Brassicales; Brassicaceae. The transcript has 4 exons.